UACAGAGGUCUCAAGCGUUGUUCGGAUUCAUUGGCGUAAAGGGUGCGUAGGCGGCGCGGUAAGUCGGGUGUGAAAUCUCGGAGCUUAACUCCGAAACUGCAUUCGAUACUGCCGGGCUUGAGUAUGGGAGAGGUGAGUGGAAUUUCCGGUGUAGCGGUGAAAUGCGUAGAUAUCGGAAGGAACACCUGUGGCGAAAGCGGCUCACUGGACCAUUACUGACGCUGAGGCACGAAAGCUAGGGGAGCAAACAGG
Molecule: ribosomal RNA, 252 nt
Filed under: uncultured bacterium
Lineage: Bacteria
Description: partial 16S ribosomal RNA
Rfam family: Bacterial small subunit ribosomal RNA
Source: RNAcentral